AACCAAAACAAAACAACACAAAAGUCAAUUCUAAAGUAACAUCCACACAUACCGCAAGCAAGACUCCUCGCUAUACUGCAAAAUUUCUCUCUUAUAUUAUCUUCUUCUUCUUUGUUUACGUGUUCCGUUUUCUUUCUCUUCCUCUCGCUCUCUCGAUCCGUUGAUUAUUCCAUUUCCAGAUCUAUGGCCGGCCAGAAAAAUGAUUAUGGAAAGAGAUCCAAUUCGCAAUAUGACUACGGCGGAGGCAAGCGGAGGAACCCUGGCGACGAUGGCGACCAGCCGCAUACGAUUGGGAGUGAAGACACCGUCUACCGCUACUUAUGUCCGUUGAGAAAGAUUGGGAGUAUUAUUGGCCGAGGUGGUGAGAUAGCGAAGCAAUUGAGGUCAGAGAGUAAAUCGAACAUUAGAAUUAGCGAGGCUAUGCCCGGAUUUGAGGAGCGCAUUGUUACUAUUUAUAGCUCUAACGAGGAGACUAAUCUUUUUGGAGAUACUGGCGAGUUUGUUUCCCCUGCUCAGGAUGCUCUUUUCAUGGUUCAUGAUAGGAUUGUUGCUGAGGACUUGCCUCCUAGUAAUGAUGAAGAUGAUGAAUUUGGAGAGCCUCAACAGGUUACUGUUAGGAUGCUUGUGCCUUCUGAUCAGAUUGGCUGUGUUAUUGGGAAAGGUGGACAGGUGAUUCAGAAUAUACGGAGCGAAACUCGUGCUCAGAUUCGUAUUUUAAAGGAUGAGCAUCUGCCUCCUUUGGCUUUCAGUAGCGAUGAGCUACUUCAGAUAAUUGGAGAACCUGCUGUUGUUAGAAAGGCUCUUUAUCAAGUGGCUUCUCGCCUUCAUGACAAUCCAUCCAGAUCCCAGCAUUUGCUUUUGUCUUCCUCAACCAACAUUUAUCAAUCUGGUAGCAUGUUUGUGACUGCCAAUGCUGGUACCCCUUUAAUGAGUCUUUAUGGUAAUUACAAAGGUGGCUGGUCAUCGUCUUUGUACUCUGAUCAGAGAGAUGAAGCUUCUGCUAAAGAGUUCUCUCUUCGUUUGGUGUGUCCUAUUGGAAAUAUCGGAGGUGUGAUUGGAAAAGGUGGUGGUAUCAUUAAGCAAAUUCGUCAGGAAUCUAGGGCAUCGAUUAAAGUUGAUAGUUCUGGUGCUGAAGGAGAUGAUUGCAUUAUAUUUAUAUCAGCAAAGGAGUAUUUUGAAGAUCAAUCUGCAACACUCAAUGCAGCACUGCGCCUGCAACCACGCUGCAGUGAGAAAACUGAAAGGGAGUCAGGUGACUCUGUAGUUACCACUCGUCUACUUGUACCAAGAUCACAGAUUGGAUGCCUCAUGGGUAAAGGAGGGGCUAUUAUUUCUGAGAUGAGAAGUGUAACACGGGCAAGCAUCCGAAUCCUCUCAGAGGAAAAUCUUCCCAAGGUUGCUUCUGAUGAUGAUGAGAUGGUGCAGAUCACCGGCAGCCUUGAUGUUGCUAGCAAUGCCCUCUCACAUGUUGUUUUGAGGUUGAAAGCCAAUUUAUUUGGGAGGGAUGGAGCCCUAACUGCAUUUCCACCAACUCUUCCAUAUAUUCCUGUUUCAGUGGACAUGUUAGAUGGUCCGAAAUAUGGGAAUCGAGAAAGUCAAUCACGCGGACGCGGAUACUCCUCAUCUGGUGGUUAUAGUUCACGUGAUUUGCCUGCAACUGACAAUUAUGGAAGUAAUGGUAGUUCACUGAGUGGUGGUGAAAGUGCUUACGGAGCAUAUGGUGGUGGCUUCUCUUCUGGUCGUUCUGGUGGUGGGGGGUUAUCUGGUCAAAACUCAGUUAACCAAAGAAAGCAUCAUGGAUAUUAGUCCCAUAUUAUAUGGCCAACAGGUUUGUUUCUUAAAGCUUUGGGAAAAUCACAAUCAGGGCUAUGGUUUGCCUGAGAGGUAAUUGUGCAUAUUCCUCUUUGAGUUGAUUGACAGAUUGCUGACUUGGUGAAGAUAAAGUCAGGUCAAGGGGUAUUAAAUCAUGGUUUCCUUGACCAGGAGGUAUGUUUUUCUGCAACUAGUAAAGUAGUUAUUACUAAUUAAUUACUGAGCUGGAUGUUCCCAUCAAACAUAACCUAACUGCAAAUGAGAAUUUAGAUGAUUGAGAUCAAACAAUAGAAAUAUAGUCAUGUGAUAUCACAUCAAUUAUUUGGACAAAAUUUUGAUUUGAAAAAGCAAAGGGAAAAGUGAUGUGUCCCACAUCGCCCGCGGAGUACAUCCUUGGCUAGUGUAUAAAGCUGGGUUCAGUCCUUCCCCUACGAGCUAGCUUUUGGGAUGAAGUUAGAGGUCCAGAUCCUUAUCAUUUGGUAUCAAAGCUCUGGCUUCAUAGGGUCGGUGUCUCAUGGGGUUCGUCAGAACGCCGACUGAGGUAGUCGGGUCUUAUGGGGGUGGGGAUGAUGCGUCCCACAUCGCCCGUGGAGUACAUCCUAGGCUAGUGUAUAAGGUUGGGUUCAGUCCUUCCCCUACAAGCUAGCUUUUGGGGCGAAGUUAGGGGUCCAGAUCCUUAUCAAAAAGUUUCUAAUUUUUAGUUUGAAACUUACACUUCAUUAGGACAUUGCAUGCUCAUCCUUCAAUGGCACAUUUGUAGGGUAAUAAGUGAUCUAAAUGCGAGGGAAAAUGAUAAAAAGAAUAAUGCCCAAGGAGUAAUAUAACUGCUCUUCUAUAGGGUCUCAUUGCAUGAAUAUAACAUGAAAUGCUCAUUAUCUUACAGAGUGAAACACAAUGGAACGAAGAGCGUGGUUAUAUGCUAGCCUGUAGUUUUUGAUAGUCUGUUUUUGUCUAUUUGCCAGAUUAGUAUAGUUGUGCCGAUUAAUUUCUUUUCUAAAUUUUGAUGUGAUAGAUUUCAUGGUCUUGCUGAUGCAUAUUUGUGUACAUGUUUGCAAAGUGCAAACAGCAGUUUGAUUUAGUUGCAUUCUAUGGUUGAGCAUAAUUUGAAGAUGCUGAUUUGCAAUGGCUGUGCAUUUCAAUUUUGCAUCCCUCCAAUGUCAUUAUAUUUAUUUGCCUGUACUAUUAAUUUCUAUUCUAAUUUGAAGGUCCUUUUUUUUUUUCCUUUUGUUGGCUACAACAUUUUCUUUUUCAUUGAAUUUGACUGCAAUUAAGCUUUCAGAAGCCAAUUUCGCUUUGACUGUUCGACAGACAUUUAGUGCAGGUGGUUUUAUUAAGUGAAGAACAAAUGCCAGAUAAAUUAACUAGUAGUUUGAUAUAUUGUAUGUUUAAAUGCAAUUUUAGUUCGUUUUUUAUCA
Jatropha curcas is the source of this 3227-nucleotide non-coding RNA. The record is from RefSeq and is a predicted model, not a curated record. NCBI's taxonomy places the organism in Eukaryota, Viridiplantae, Streptophyta, Magnoliopsida, Malpighiales, Euphorbiaceae.